GAUGAACGCUGGCGGCGUGCUUAACACGUGCAAGUCGAACGAAGCACUUUUUGAAUCUUCGGAAGAGAAAGUGACUGAGUGGCGGACGGGUGAGUAACGCGUGGGUAACCUGCCUUAUACAGGGGGAUAACAGUUAGAAAUGACUGCUAAUACCGCAUAAGCUGACGAAGUCGCAUGACUUAGUUAGAAAAGAUUUAUCGGUAUAAGAUGGACCCGCGUCUGAUUAGCUAGUUGGUGAGGUAACGGCCCACCAAGGCGACGAUCAGUAGCCGGCUUGAGAGAGUGAACGGCCACAUUGGGACUGAGACACGGCCCAAACUCCUACGGGAGGCAGCAGUGGGGAAUAUUGCACAAUCGGGGGAAACCCUGAUGCAGCAACGCCGCGUGAAGGAAGAAGGUUUUCGGAUCGUAAACUUCUAUCAGCAGGGAAGAUAGUGACAGUACCUGACUAAGAAGCCCCGGCUAACUACGUG
This 473-nucleotide ribosomal RNA is filed under the name uncultured bacterium. RNAcentral's name for it is "bacterial SSU rRNA". It matches the Rfam family "Bacterial small subunit ribosomal RNA", at positions 28 to 507 of the family's 1533-position model. The record is from RNAcentral.